Molecule: transfer RNA, 73 nt
Filed under: Ixodes scapularis (black-legged tick)
Lineage: Eukaryota; Metazoa; Arthropoda; Arachnida; Ixodida; Ixodidae
Rfam family: tRNA
About the family: Transfer RNA (tRNA) molecules are approximately 80 nucleotides in length.
Source: Rfam by way of RNAcentral
UCCUGGUUAGCUCUGGCGGUAGAGCAUUCCAUUGGAAACGGAGAGGUCCCUGGUUUGAUACCAGGACCAGGCG